RNAcentral lists this long non-coding RNA (733 nucleotides) under Erythranthe guttata (spotted monkey flower). Its description in RNAcentral is "long non-coding RNA (EGUT_LNC000582)". Lineage: Eukaryota; Viridiplantae; Streptophyta; Magnoliopsida; Lamiales; Phrymaceae. The record is from RNAcentral.
CUUUGAGUGUCGGAGAAUUAUUUUACGAGAUUCUCUGCUCUUAUCUGACAUUGAAAUGGAUAACUGAGAUAAGCUCAUAAUACUCCAACCUCCGGUCGACAAGUGCUAGGCAGUGCUUUUAGAAGUGAGGUUGAAAUUACAAUGUCGGUACGUAUAUAUGUGAGAAUUUACCAGUGUGGUAUAAAUUUUAGUACAAAUGUGUGAGUAAUGUAUAGAUAGAAGCAAGGGACUUGCUUAGGUGUAGUUUGAAUGCUGAUUCGUCAAUCUGUAGAGUGUGUGUUUUAUUUGAGAAAUUGAGUUGCAAAUCAUGGUAAGGAAAUGGAAUUAUCAAACAAAUAAUAAGGUUUUUUCUGUAUGCCUUUGGGUCAAUGCUUUAAUCACUAAAGAGUGUUUUAUAUCCAUUUAUCAUUAUUUUCGUAUUAAUGGAUGUACACACUUUGACUGCAGGUAUACUGAUGUGGUUUGGUGCUCGGCUGAUGAGUUCUUCAUUCCGCCUCCGACAACCCUCUCCCUCCGCCUCCCGUCCAAACCAGGGAAACUUGGUUUUGCAGAAGUUUCAGUCAAGAUUCAUCACUAUGCUUGUGAUCUAUAUCUGCUCAAAACUCAACUAUAUCGGAGAAAUUGGCUGAAAUAUACACACACACACACACACACACACACACACACACACACACACAACAUUUUUGUUGAGUAUAUUGUGUAAUGCUUACAUUUGCAUUUGAUUUGAGGUUAU